Molecule: long non-coding RNA, 387 nt
Filed under: Physcomitrium patens
Lineage: Eukaryota; Viridiplantae; Streptophyta; Bryopsida; Funariales; Funariaceae
Description: long non-coding RNA (PPAT_LNC001225)
Source: RNAcentral
GAAUAUUGUGUAUUUUUCAUUUUUCUCCAAAAAUUGCACAAGAUAUCACAAAUCUUUUAAAUGCCUUUGAGUUUUAUUUUCAUUUUUAUUUAGCAUAAUCCUUGAAUAAGAUCCUAGCAAUUAAAAUAAUAUUUGAACGAUUAAUGAAAUGAAAAAUUAUCCGUAGCAAUUCAUAGUAAACAUUACUAAUUACGACUAGAAUAGCAUAAAUAUUUAAGAAGUUUUUACAAUUUUUUUAUUGAAUGUAACUUAUUUUUUCUAAUGCUCCUAAUUCAAAAAAUUAAAGGAUGACUAAAAAAUCUUUUAAAAAUAAGUUUCAAUUUUUAAAUUCAGUUUUAUUAUAAUAAAAGUAUCUCAUAAAAAUGAAUUGAAUGUUGAUAUUAAUUC